Molecule: unclassified non-coding RNA, 100 nt
Filed under: uncultured fungus
Lineage: Eukaryota; Fungi
Description: sequence contains ITS1
Source: RNAcentral
CAGAGUUGCAAAACUCCCCACAACCAUCGCGAACGUUACCUGCUUUACAAGCUCUUGUCAUUUGUCGUGGCAUCUUCUGAGUUAACACAAAAAUGAAUCA